GCGCGAUUAGCUCAGUGGGAGAGCGCUACCUUGACACGGUAGAGGUCGCUGGUUCAAUCCCAGCAUCGCGCA
RNAcentral lists this transfer RNA (72 nucleotides) under Saccharopolyspora rectivirgula. It matches the Rfam family "tRNA". From Rfam's summary of the family: Transfer RNA (tRNA) molecules are approximately 80 nucleotides in length. Their secondary structure includes four short double-helical elements and three loops (D, anti-codon, and T loops). RNAcentral also lists the same sequence under 1 other name. The record is from Rfam by way of RNAcentral. Lineage: Bacteria; Bacillati; Actinomycetota; Actinomycetes; Pseudonocardiales; Pseudonocardiaceae.